GACGAACGCUGGCGGCGUGCUUAACACAUGCAAGUCGAACGGAAAGGCCCUGCUUUUGUGGGGUGCUCGAGUGGCGAACGGGUGAGUAACACGUGAGUAACCUGCCCUUGACUUUGGGAUAACUUCAGGAAACUGGGGCUAAUACCGGAUAGGAGCUCCUGCUGCAUGGUGGGGGUUGGAAAGUUUCGGCGGUUGGGGAUGGACUCGCGGCUUAUCAGCUUGUUGGUGGGGUAGUGGCUUACCAAGGCUUUGACGGGUAGCCGGCCUGAGCGGGUGACCGGCCACCUUGGGACGGGGAUACGGCCCCGGCUCCUACGGGAGGCAGCAGUGGGGAAUAUUGCACAAUGGGCGGAAGCCUGAUGCAGCAACGCCGCGUGCGGGAUGACGGCCUUCGGGUUGUAGACCGCUUUCGCCUGUGGCGAAGCGUGAGUGACGGUAAUGGGUAGAGAAGCACCGGCUAACUACGUG
RNAcentral lists this ribosomal RNA (468 nucleotides) under uncultured bacterium. RNAcentral's name for it is "partial 16S ribosomal RNA". It matches the Rfam family "Bacterial small subunit ribosomal RNA", at positions 28 to 507 of the family's 1533-position model. The record is from RNAcentral.